AGUAGAAAUGCUGGGACACGUGGGAACUCUGUUCAACCUUUAGAGGAACUGCCACACUGUUUUCCAAAGUGGUUGCACCGUGUACAUCCCCAUCAGCAUC
Molecule: microRNA precursor, 100 nt
Filed under: Marmota monax (woodchuck)
Lineage: Eukaryota; Metazoa; Chordata; Mammalia; Rodentia; Sciuridae
Source: RNAcentral